GGUGUGGCAGCAGCACUAACAUCGGGAUGGAGCUUUAGCUGUCUCCCACUCUCACUUCUGAGGGUUGGGCACGGCUCCACCUUGACAUGAAGGCUGGGCAUGUAACAUAAGCUAACAAAGCAGAGAAUUACACUCCUCUCAUUACGGAGGAUUGUUUCAGAGAAGGCACAAGACCUAGUUCAGCUAUGGAAAUCCUGGUCCAGUGGAUUUCAGAACUUUUAUAGGAAACACUGGGAAAAAGAAAUGAGGCUGCUCUGGGAGCUCACACUGGACUUAUGAGGGGAGGGAGCUUUCUUGCCCCCAUCUCACCACCCAGUGGGACCUGAGACUGAAGGUUUUACAUGGAAGACAACAGUGAGAAACUAGAGACAAUGAGAGACCUCAUUUUGGGUUUUAAUCAGUUGAUGAUAUUCAGAUGCUCAGAAUUUUUCCAGGUGAUGUUAGGGAUAAAAGUAUUGGACAUAUUCAAGUUCCUGAAGUGAUAAGAGG
RNAcentral lists this long non-coding RNA (489 nucleotides) under Equus caballus (horse). RNAcentral's name for it is "lncRNA (ENSECAG00000047173.1)". The record is from RNAcentral. Lineage: Eukaryota; Metazoa; Chordata; Mammalia; Perissodactyla; Equidae.